CACCGUUGAUAGGUAGGAAGAAUAGAGUAGAAGGGAGAUAAACAUAAUCAAAACAAAAACAAAUCGAAUAGCAGGUGAAUUGGAAGUGAAAAUAAAAUUGAGAAUAAAUUGGUGUAUUUUUUCUGGAAAUUAUCAGUAGUGAGGGCGGCAGUAGUAGAAAUAUUGUCAAUAAAUUCAGGAAUAAUAGCACGGUUACACCGAGCCGAAUAAAAAGUGGAAAUCAAUUCACUAGUAACAAUAAACUAGAGAAAUAGUAAACUACUAAAAGUUUACUGGCUAGUGUUUGAGUACGAAUUGAUCGAAUCGUUA
Molecule: long non-coding RNA, 309 nt
Organism: Toxorhynchites rutilus septentrionalis
Lineage: Eukaryota; Metazoa; Arthropoda; Insecta; Diptera; Culicidae
Exons: 3
Source: RefSeq, a predicted model, not a curated record